This 959-nucleotide ribosomal RNA is filed under the name uncultured bacterium. RNAcentral's name for it is "bacterial SSU rRNA". It matches the Rfam family "Bacterial small subunit ribosomal RNA", at positions 534 to 1493 of the family's 1533-position model. The record is from RNAcentral.
GCAAGCGUUAAUCGGAAUUACUGGGCGUAAAGCGCACGCAGGCGGUUUGUUAAGUCAGAUGUGAAAUCCCCGGGCUCAACCUGGGAACUGCAUUUGAAACUGGCAAGCUAGAGUCUCGUAGAGGGGGGUAGAAUUCCAGGUGUAGCGGUGAAAUGCGUAGAGAUCUGGAGGAAUACCGGUGGCGAAGGCGGCCCCCUGGACGAAGACUGACGCUCAGGUGCGAAAGCGUGGGGAGCAAACGGGAUUAGAUACCCUGGUAGUCCACGCUGUAAACGAUGUCGAUUUGGAGGUUGUGCCCUUGAGGCGUGGCUUCCGGAGCUAACGCGUUAAAUCGACCGCCUGGGGAGUACGGCCGCAAGGUUAAAACUCAAAUGAAUUGACGGGGGCCCGCACAAGCGGUGGAGCAUGUGGUUUAAUUCGAUGCAACGCGAAGAACCUUACCUACUCUUGACAUCCAGAGAACUUUCCAGAGAUGGAUUGGUGCCUUCGGGAACUCUGAGACAGGUGCUGCAUGGCUGUCGUCAGCCCGUGUUGUGAAAUGUUGGGUUAAGUCCCGCAACGAGCGCAACCCUUAUCCUUUGUUGCCAGCGGUUCGGCCGGGAACUCAAAGGAGACUGCCAGUGAUAAACUGGAGGAAGGUGGGGAUGACGUCAAGUCAUCAUGGCCCUUACGAGUAGGGCUACACACGUGCUACAAUGGCAUAUACAAAGAGAAGCGACCUCGCGAGAGCAAGCGGACCUCAUAAAGUAUGUCGUAGUCCGGAUUGGAGUCUGCAACUCGACUCCAUGAAGUCGGAAUCGCUAGUAAUCGUAGAUCAGAAUGCUACGGUGAAUACGUUCCCGGGCCUUGUACACACCGCCCGUCACACCAUGGGAGUGGGUUGCAAAAGAAGUAGGUAGCUUAACCUUCGGGAGGGCGCUUACCACUUUGUGAUUCAUGACUGGGGUGAAGUCGUAACA